GACGAACGCUGGCGGCGUGCUUAACACAUGCAAGUCGUACGGUAAGGCCCUUUCGGGGGUACACGAGUGGCGAACGGGUGAGUAACACGUGAGUAACCUGCCCACAACUUUGGGAUAACGCUAGGAAACUGGUGCUAAUACUGGAUAUGUGCUCCUGCUGCAUGGUGGGGGUUGGAAAGCUCCGGCGGUUGUGGAUGGACUCGCGGCCUAUCAGCUUGUUGGUGGGGUAGUGGCCUACCAAGGCGGCGACGGGUAGCCGGCCUGAGAGAGUGACCGGCCACAUUGGGACUGAGGUACGGCCCAGACUCCUACGGGAGGCAGCAGUGGGGAAUAUUGCACAAUGGGCGCAAGCCUGAUGCAGCAACGCCGCGUGCGGGAUGACGGCCUUCGGGUUGUAAACCGCUUUCAGCAGGGACGAAGCUUUUUGUGACGGUACCUGCAGAAGAAGCACCGGCUAACUACGUG
This 465-nucleotide ribosomal RNA is filed under the name uncultured bacterium. RNAcentral describes it as "partial 16S ribosomal RNA". It matches the Rfam family "Bacterial small subunit ribosomal RNA", at positions 28 to 507 of the family's 1533-position model. The record is from RNAcentral.